UACAGGGGGUGCAAGCGUUAUUCGGAAUUACUGGGCGUAAAGAGCGUGUAGGCGGUUUGUUAAGUCUGAUGUGAAAGCCCUGGGCUCAAUCCAGGAAGUGCAUUGGAUACUGGCAGACUAGAGUAUGGGAGAGGAUGGCGGAAUUCCUGGUGUAGAGGUGAAAUUCGUAGAUAUCAGGAGGAACAACAGUGGCGAAGGCGGCCAUCUGGACCAUUACUGACGCUAAGGCGCGAAAGCGUGGGGAGCAAACAGG
This 253-nucleotide ribosomal RNA is filed under the name uncultured bacterium. Its description in RNAcentral is "partial 16S ribosomal RNA". It matches the Rfam family "Bacterial small subunit ribosomal RNA", at positions 524 to 776 of the family's 1533-position model. The record is from RNAcentral.